AAGGAAUAUUGGACAAUGGAGGAAACUCUGAUCCAGCCAUGCCGCGUGUGUGAAGAAGGCCUUAGGGUUGUAAAGCUCUUUCAAUAGUGAGGAUAAUGACGGUAGCUAUAGAAGAAGCCCCGGCUAAAUUCGUGCCAGCAGCCGCGGUAAUACGAAUGGGGCAAGCGUUGUUCGGAAUCACUGGGCUUAAAGCGUGCGUAGGCGGAUUUGCAAGUCAGAAGUGAAAUCCCGGGGCUUAACCUCGGAACUGCUUUUGAAACUGCAAGUCUAGAAUCCGGUAGAGGUUAGGAGAAUUCCGAGUGUAGAGGUAAAAUUCGCAGAUAUUCGGAGGAAUACCAGUGGCGAAGGCGCCUAACUGGGCCGGCAUUGACGCUCAUGUACGAAAGCGUGGGGAGCAAAC
RNAcentral lists this ribosomal RNA (400 nucleotides) under uncultured bacterium. RNAcentral's name for it is "bacterial SSU rRNA". It matches the Rfam family "Bacterial small subunit ribosomal RNA", at positions 356 to 773 of the family's 1533-position model. The record is from RNAcentral.